Molecule: long non-coding RNA, 317 nt
Filed under: Hordeum vulgare
Lineage: Eukaryota; Viridiplantae; Streptophyta; Magnoliopsida; Poales; Poaceae
Description: long non-coding RNA (HVUL_LNC011195)
Source: RNAcentral
ACCUCGACGCUGCGAUCCGUCGUGUACUUUCCGACGGGACACGCGUACAAGACUAGCUCGAGUAAUUCCGAGCUUACUGAGCUAACCAGCUAUAGAGAUGGACGAUGAGCUAGCAAGCAGGCUAGGAGGUGGAUGGAUUUCCACGUACUACCACAUGCAUGCACAAAAGAACCAGCCGGCGACGUUCGAUCGAUACACACACGAGAACACGAGAUUGAUGGCUAAUAGGACCGUGUCGGUCCUAUGUGUUUGUAUUACUUUUUCUUCUUGGUACAAAGUACAGGGGUAUACAUGAGUAUAUAUAUUAGCUAGCUAGG